GGAGUGUCGCUCAUGUUGCCAGGCUGGAGUGCAGUGGCGCCAUCUCGGCUCACUGCAAGCUCCGCCUCCCAGGUUCACGCCAUUCUCCUGCCUCAGCCUCUGGAGUAGCUGGGACUACAGGCGCUCGCCACCAUGCCCGGCUAAUUUUUUGUAUGUUUUUAGUAGAGACAGAGUUUCACCAUGUUAGCCAGGAUGGUCUUGAUCUCCCGACCUCGUGAUCCGCCCGUCUCCGCCUCCCAAAGUGCUGGGAGCAUUCUUUACCUUUCAACUUUCCAAAAUGGUGCAGGCACCAAGUUUAAAACAGUGAAUGGAGCUACAAAGUUAUGCAGAAGCAGACACUAAGCUACAAGCUGUGUGCUAAUUUGAUUUCCCUAGAGGCAACUCUUGAGAUGUUUUGUGAGCAGUUGUAUGAACCCAAAAUGGAGUCAAGAGCUGGACUUAGACAGAUUGGAGCAUAAGAUCACAACUGCUAUGAAGACAUCAAUUAUGGCCAGACAUCCUUUACUAAACGGCAUCCCUCUGACCCUGCACAAUUUUUCAAAUUGUAACAGAACACAAGUCUUCCAAUGCCAGUUUUUUGUUUUUGUAUUUUUCAGAAUAGAAAACAAUGUACUGAGGAAAACAGAAAGUGAAGAAAGUAUAAGGGCUGCUGUAACAAAAUACGACAAACUGGUUGCCUAAAACAACAGAAACUUAUCCCACAGUCAAGGAGGCCAGAAGUCUAAAAUGAAGUCCCAACUGCUCGGAGGCUGAGGUGGGAAGAUUGUCUGAGCCAGAGAAGUUGCACCACUGUACUCCAGGCUGGGUGAAAGAACAAGACCCUUUCUAAAAAAAAAUUAAUAAUAAUAAUAAAGAAAUAAAAAAU
RNAcentral lists this long non-coding RNA (865 nucleotides) under Homo sapiens (human). RNAcentral's name for it is "HSALNT0009332". Lineage: Eukaryota; Metazoa; Chordata; Mammalia; Primates; Hominidae. The record is from RNAcentral.